Conidiobolus coronatus NRRL 28638 is the source of this 109-nucleotide small nuclear RNA. The record is from Rfam. Lineage: Eukaryota; Fungi; Entomophthoromycota; Entomophthoromycetes; Entomophthorales; Conidiobolaceae.
GUCACUGACACAUGACAAAAUUGGAACGAUACAGAGAAGAUUAGCAUGGCCCCUGCACAAGGAUGACACGUAAAUCUUGAGUGGAUAGCAUCUUAGGAUGCAAAUUUUU